Molecule: ribosomal RNA, 420 nt
Filed under: Triticum aestivum (bread wheat)
Lineage: Eukaryota; Viridiplantae; Streptophyta; Magnoliopsida; Poales; Poaceae
Description: partial small subunit ribosomal RNA
Source: RNAcentral
AUGUUUUUGGCCUCCUCGUUUUUCGCGCCCACUUAUCAGUCUUCCCUUAUAAAUAAGCACGACCAGGUCUUUUCUCAUUCUCCCCCUUUCUAUCGUCUUCCUCCUCUCGAUGCCUCAGCGCCCGAACUCUGCCGCCGCCGUCGACCUUCACAUCUGCACCAGCCAAGGCCGCUGCAUCAACCUGUCCUGACCAGAGAACUGCGACGCACCUCCGCUGUUCAGCAGCUCCAGUAUGUAUUCCUCUUCUCGAAUAUCAGAUCUGCAUUAGGGUUUCUGCAUUCUUUCGUGUUCUUCAUAGUUCAUCACGGUUUCUUCGUAGUUCUUCCGCCGCGGUCUCCUUUGAUCCAAAAGUGGUACGAAACUCAUGCGGUAGUUGUUUUGCGUCUAUUUUCAAUACUAGCAGAUCCCUUUUGCUUGUAA